CCUACGGGAGGCAGCAGUGGGGAAUUUUGGACAAUGGGCGAAAGCCUGAUCCAGCCAUGCCGCGUGCAGGAUGAAGGCCUUCGGGUUGUAAACUGCUUUUGUACGGAACGAAACGGCCUUUUCUAAUAAAGAGGGCUAAUGACGGUACCGUAAGAAUAAGCACCGGCUAACUACGUGCCAGCAGCCGCGGUAAUACGUAGGGUGCAAGCGUUAAUCGGAAUUACUGGGCGUAAAGCGUGCGCAGGCGGUUAUAUAAGACAGUUGUGAAAUCCCCGGGCUCAACCUGGGAACUGCAUCUGUGACUGUAUAGCUAGAGUACGGUAGAGGGGGAUGGAAUUCCGCGUGUAGCAGUGAAAUGCGUAGAUAUGCGGAGGAACACCGAUGGCGAAGGCAAUCCCCUGGACCUGUACUGACGCUCAUGCACGAAAGCGUGGGGAGCAAACAGGAUUAGAUACCCUGGUAGUCCACGCCCUAAACGAUGUCAACUGGUUGUUGGUCUUCACUGACUCAGUAACGAAGCUAACGCGUAGAGUUCGACCGCGUGGGGAGGUACGGUCCGGCGAGUUAGUUAACGUACGAAAGUUAAGUAGAGGCGNGNGAGAGCGACGGACGACGACGAGGAGGAGG
RNAcentral lists this ribosomal RNA (627 nucleotides) under uncultured bacterium. RNAcentral's name for it is "bacterial SSU rRNA". The stretch from base 1 to 542 matches the Rfam family "Bacterial small subunit ribosomal RNA", at positions 338 to 873 of the family's 1533-position model. The record is from RNAcentral.